This is a long non-coding RNA of Drosophila serrata, 248 nucleotides long. The record is from RefSeq and is a predicted model, not a curated record. NCBI's taxonomy places the organism in Eukaryota, Metazoa, Arthropoda, Insecta, Diptera, Drosophilidae.
UGUCGUGGGCGGGGUCAAGGCAAAGCAACAGCAGCAGCAAACAGCAAGCACUCCGGAGGCAAACUUUCGCAAUUGGCUGGCGUUAUUUUUGGAUUAAGCAGCUAAACAGCGCCAAAUUGUAACAGACGAACGAACAACGACCGACAAUUAACGAUUAACAUUAAGUCCAACUGAAGUAGGGGAAAGUGCUUAGGAUUCUUUUGCCGUCCACUUACCGCCAGCAAACAGCAAACAGAGAAAAGCAAAGA